Molecule: ribosomal RNA, 468 nt
Filed under: uncultured bacterium
Lineage: Bacteria
Description: partial 16S ribosomal RNA
Rfam family: Bacterial small subunit ribosomal RNA
Source: RNAcentral
GAUGAACGCUGGCGGCGUGCUUAACACAUGCCAGUCGAACGGAAAGGCCAGUGCUUGCACUGGUACUCGAGUGGCGAACGGGUGAGUAACACGUGGGUGAUCUGCCCUGCACUUCGGGAUAAGCCUGGGAAACUGGGUCUAAUACCGGAUAGGACAAUGGUUUGGAUGCCGUUGUGGAAAGUUUUUUCGGUGUGGGAUGAGCUCGCGGCCUAUCAGCUUGUUGGUGGGGUAAUGGCCUACCAAGGCGUCGACGGGUAGCCGGCCUGAGAGGGUGUACGGCCACAUUGGGACUGAGAUACGGCCCAGACUCCUACGGGAGGCAGCAGUGGGGAAUAUUGCACAAUGGGCGCAAGCCUGAUGCAGCGACGCCGCGUGGGGGAUGACCGCCUUCGGGUUGUAAACUCCUUUCGCUAGGGACGAAGCGUAUUUGUGACGGUACCUGGAGAAGAAGCACCGGCUAACUACGUG